GAUGAAGAACGCAGCGAAAUGCGAUAAGUAAUGUGAAUUGCAGAAUUCAGUGAAUCAUCGAAUCUUUGAACGCACAUUGCGCCCGCCAGUAUUCUGGCGGGCAUGCCUGUCCGAGCGUCAUUUUAACCCUCGAACCCCUCCGGGGGGUCGGCGUUGGGGAUCGGGAACCCCUAAGACGGGAUCCCGGCCCCGAAAUACAGUGGCGGUCUCGCCGCAGCCUCUCCUGCGCAGUAGUUUGCACAACUCGCACCGGGAGCGCGGCGCGUCCACGUCCGUAAAACACCCAACUUUCUGAAAUGUUGACCUCGGAUCAGGUAGGAAUACCCGCUGAACUUAAGCAUAUCAAUAAGCGGAGGA
RNAcentral lists this unclassified non-coding RNA (357 nucleotides) under soil metagenome. RNAcentral's name for it is "partial contains 5.8S ribosomal RNA, internal transcribed spacer 2, and large subunit ribosomal RNA". The stretch from base 1 to 120 matches the Rfam family "5.8S ribosomal RNA", at positions 35 to 154 of the family's 154-position model. The record is from RNAcentral.